Molecule: ribosomal RNA, 467 nt
Filed under: uncultured bacterium
Lineage: Bacteria
Description: partial 16S ribosomal RNA
Rfam family: Bacterial small subunit ribosomal RNA
Source: RNAcentral
GACGAACGCUGGCGGCGUGCUUAACACAUGCAAGUCGAACGGAAAGGCCCUGCUUUUGUGGGGUGCUCGAGUGGCGAACGGGUGAGUAACACGUGAGUAACCUGCCCUUGACUUUGGGAUAACUUCAGGAAACUGGGGCUAAUACCGGAUAGGAGCUCCUGCUGCAUGGUGGGGGUUGGAAAGUUUCGGCGGUUGGGGAUGGACUCGCGGCUUAUCAGCUUGUUGGUGGGGUAGUGGCUUACCAAGGCUUUGACGGGUAGCCGGCCUGAGAGGGUGACCGGCCACAUUGGGACUGGGGUACGGCCCAGACUCCUACGGGAGGCAGCGGUGGGGAAUAUUGCACAAUGGGCGGAGGCCUGAUGCAGCAACGCCGCGUGCGAGAUGACGGCCUUCGGGUUGUAAACCGCUUUCGCCUGUGACGAAGCGUGAGUGACGGUAAUGGGUAAAGAAGCACCGGCUAACUACGU